Molecule: small nuclear RNA, 104 nt
Filed under: Jaculus jaculus (lesser Egyptian jerboa)
Lineage: Eukaryota; Metazoa; Chordata; Mammalia; Rodentia; Dipodidae
Source: RNAcentral
UUCACGUUGGUGGCACAUAUACUAAAACUGGAACAAUACAGAGGAGAGUAACAUGACCCCUGCACAAAGAUGACACGCAAAUUUGUGAAGAAUUCCAUAUUUAU